UGAAAAUUGAAGGCAUGAAGCCCGCAUCACUUACACUUUCAUGAGUUUCAUCAAAAAAGUGAAACCUUUUUCUCAUUCAUCAGAAAAAAAAAGUGAAACCUCCAUCAAACCUCCAUAGCAAAACCUUCAUCAUCCGCUUAUUGUUCAGCUCCACCGCCGCUCUACUGCUGCUCCACCGCCGCUCUACCGCUGCUCCACCACCGCUCUACUGCCGCUCCACUUUUGCAGUACCGGACCUGUCUGCUGAGCCACAAGUAAAUCGAGUUGUGGUUUGCAGAAGAUGUUAGAGGUGACUAUUGUGGUUUUUGUCUAAAUUUGCUUGUCACCUCCUUGUGAUAGAGUUGGUUUCUGUGGUAGUGAAUGAGAUGGAGAUGGUUUAGGCUGUGCUGGCGCCACUCCUGCUGGAUGGAAAGGGGGCCGCUGUGCAGGUGGCUGAGAUGGUACUUGGGUCUCUUGGCUGGGACGUGGAGCAACAGGUGCUUGCUGAGGUGUAUUUUAAGCAAGUUCCUCCUACAUAUUCUCAACAAAUGAUCGAGGAGCUUAAGGAAAGGUGGAUUGCAUAUGUUACAGGAAGCCAUCAACCAAAUGACAACGAUGAUGAUAUAUGUGAAUUUUAGAUCAAUAUGGUAUUGGUAUAUCUAAGCAUAAUUUUUAUUAAAUCAACAUUAAUUAGAAAAGUGUUUUGAUAUUUAACUCACGUAUUUGUUUGUAUAAAUUUUUUUUUGUAUGAAUGAUUCAAUUUAAUUGUGGCUGGAUGUUUUAAUUUUAUAUAUGAGGUAUAUUCUGAUUGCUUUGUCGUA
Molecule: long non-coding RNA, 800 nt
Organism: Chenopodium quinoa (quinoa)
Lineage: Eukaryota; Viridiplantae; Streptophyta; Magnoliopsida; Caryophyllales; Amaranthaceae
Exons: 3
Source: RefSeq, a predicted model, not a curated record